RNAcentral lists this ribosomal RNA (253 nucleotides) under uncultured bacterium. RNAcentral describes it as "partial 16S ribosomal RNA". It matches the Rfam family "Bacterial small subunit ribosomal RNA", at positions 524 to 776 of the family's 1533-position model. The record is from RNAcentral.
UACGGAGGGUGCAAGCGUUAUCCGGAUUCACUGGGUUUAAAGGGUGUGUAGGCGGGCAGUUAAGUCAGUGGUGAAAUCUCCGGGCUCAACCCGGAAACUGCCAUUGAUACUAUCUGUCUUGAAUAUUGUUGAGGUAGGCGGAAUAUAUCAUGUAGCGGUGAAAUGCAUAGAUAUGAUAUAGAACACCGAUUGCGAAGGCAGCUUACUAAACAAUUAUUGACGCUGAGGCACGAAAGCGUGGGGAUCAAACAGG